RNAcentral lists this ribosomal RNA (449 nucleotides) under Escherichia coli. RNAcentral describes it as "bacterial SSU rRNA". It matches the Rfam family "Bacterial small subunit ribosomal RNA", at positions 1050 to 1499 of the family's 1533-position model. Lineage: Bacteria; Pseudomonadati; Pseudomonadota; Gammaproteobacteria; Enterobacterales; Enterobacteriaceae. The record is from RNAcentral.
UGUCGUCAGCUCGUGUUGUGAAAUGUUGGGUUAAGUCCCGCAACGAGCGCAACCCUUAUCCUUUGUUGCCAGCGGUCCGGCCGGGAACUCAAAGGAGACUGCCAGUGAUAAACUGGAGGAAGGUGGGGAUGACGUCAAGUCAUCAUGGCCCUUACGACCAGGGCUACACACGUGCUACAAUGGCGCAUACAAAGAGAAGCGACCUCGCGAGAGCAAGCGGACCUCAUAAAGUGCGUCGUAGUCCGGAUUGGAGUCUGCAACUCGACUCCAUGAAGUCGGAAUCGCUAGUAAUCGUGGAUCAGAAUGCCACGGUGAAUACGUUCCCGGGCCUUGUACACACCGCCCGUCACACCAUGGGAGUGGGUUGCAAAAGAAGUAGGUAGCUUAACCUUCGGGAGGGCGCUUACCACUUUGUGAUUCAUGACUGGGGUGAAGUCGUAACAAGGUAA